Molecule: ribosomal RNA, 488 nt
Filed under: uncultured bacterium
Lineage: Bacteria
Description: partial 16S ribosomal RNA
Rfam family: Bacterial small subunit ribosomal RNA
Source: RNAcentral
GACGAACGCUGGCGGCGUGCUUAACACAUGCAAGUCGAACGGAAAGGCCCUGCUCUUGUGGGGUGCUCGAGUGGCGAACGGGUGAGUAACACGUGAGUAACCUGCCCUUGACUUUGGGAUAACUUCAGGAAACUGGGGCUAAUAUCGGAUAGGAGCUCCUGCUGCACGGUGGGGGUUGGAAAGAUUCGGCGGUUGGGGAUGGACUAGGGGCUUAUCAGCCUGGUGGUGGGGUAGUGGAUUACCAGGGCUUUGAUGGGUAGCCCGCGUGAGAGGGUGGCCGGCCGCACUGGAACUGAGACACGGCCCAGAGGGCUACGGGAGGCAGCAGUAGGGAAUCUUGGGGAAGGGGCGGGAGCAUGACGGAACAAGGCCGAGUGAGUGAUGAAGGUCCCCGGAUCGGAAAACUCGGUUAUUAGGGAAGAACAACUGUGUAAGUAUCUAUGCACGUCUUGACGGUAACUGGUCAGAAAGCCACGGCUAACUACGUG